AACGCUAGCUACAGGCUUAACACAUGCAAGUCGAGGGGCAGCAUGGUCUUAGCUUGCUAAGGCCGAUGGCGACCGGCGCACGGGUGAGUAACACGUAUCCAACCUGCCGUCUACUCUUGGACAGCCUUCUGAAAGGAAGAUUAAUACAAGAUGGCAUCAUGAGUCCGCAUGUUCACAUGAUUAAAGGUAUUCCGGUAGACGAUGGGGAUGCGUUCCAUUAGAUAGUAGGCGGGGUAACGGCCCACCUAGUCUUCGAUGGAUAGGGGUUCUGAGAGGAAGGUCCCCCACAUUGGAACUGAGACACGGUCCAAACUCCUACGGGAGGCAGCAGUGAGGAAUAUUGGUCAAUGGGCGAGAGCCUGAACCAGCCAAGUAGCGUGAAGGAUGACUGCCCUAUGGGUUGUAAACUUCUUUUAUAAAGGAAUAAAGUCGGGUAUGGAUACCCGUUUGCAUGUACUUUAUGAAUAAGGAUCGGCUAACUCCGUGCCAGCAGCCGCGGUAAUACGGAGGAUCCGAACGUUAUCCGGAUUUAUUGGGUUUAAAGGGAGCGUAGAUGGAUGUUUAAGUCAGUUGUGAAAGUUUGCGGCUCAACCGUAAAAUUGCAGUUGAUACUGGAUAUCUUGAGUGCAGUUGAGGCAGGCGGAAUUCGUGGUGUAGCGGUGAAAUGCUUAGAUAUCACGAAGAACUCCGAUUG
This 694-nucleotide ribosomal RNA is filed under the name uncultured bacterium. Its description in RNAcentral is "bacterial SSU rRNA". It matches the Rfam family "Bacterial small subunit ribosomal RNA", at positions 32 to 715 of the family's 1533-position model. The record is from RNAcentral.